UUUAGCUUGCUAAAGUUGGAAGAGUUGCGAACGGGUGCGUAACGCGUAGGUAACCUACCUACUAGCGGGGGAUAACUAUCGGAAACGAUAGCUAAUACCGCAUAACAGCAUUUAACCCAUGUUAGAUGCUUGAAAGGAGCAAUUGCUUCACUAGUAGAUGGACCUGCGUUGUAUUAGCUAGUUGGUGAGGUAACGGCUCACCAAGGCGACGAUACAUAGCCGACCUGAGAGGGUGAUCGGCCACACUGGGACUGAGACACGGCCCAGACUCCUACGGGAGGCAGCAGUAGGGAAUCUUCGGCAAUGGGGGCAACCCUGACCGAGCAACGCCGCGUGAGUGAAGAAGGUUUUCGGAUCGUAAAGCUCUGUUGUAAGAGAAGAACGUGUGUGAGAGUGGAAAGUUCACACAGUGACGGUAACUUACCAGAAAGGGACGGCUAACUACGUGCCAGCAGCCGCGGUAAUACGUAGGUCCCGAGCGUUGUCCGGAUUUAUUGGGCGUAAAGCGAGCGCAGGCGGUUUAAUAAGUCUGAAGUUAAAGGCAGUGGCUUAACCAUUGUUCGCUUUGGAAACUGUUAGACUUGAGUGCAGAAGGGGAGAGUGGAAUUCCAUGUGUAGCGGUGAAAUGCGUAGAUAUAUGGAGGAACACCGGUGGCGAAAGCGGCUCUCUGGUCUGUAACUGACGCUGAGGCUCGAAAGCGUGGGGAGCAAACAGGAUUAGAUACCCUGGUAGUCCACGCCGUAAACGAUGAGUGCUAGGUGUUAGGCCCUUUCCGGGGCUUAGUGCCGCAGCUAACGCAUUAAGCACUCCACCUGG
Molecule: ribosomal RNA, 817 nt
Filed under: uncultured bacterium
Lineage: Bacteria
Description: bacterial SSU rRNA
Rfam family: Bacterial small subunit ribosomal RNA
Source: RNAcentral